CUGUCUUUGGCAGCUCAUUUAAAAAUUCUCAGUCAGGGCCCAAUCUAUUAUUACUCCCUCUUUAUUAUGUUUGCGAAAGAAAACCCUUUCCCGGGAUGUCGACUCCACCGUCCGCCGUUGUGUGACCUCAAUCGCCAUGCCUCUUCAGCGUUCCUCACUUCCAUCUCUAUCUGUUCGUUUUCCUCUAAAACCGUAAUUUCAGUCCUUCAAUGCUUCUCCUCUCAAUUGAAGUCUCCUUAUUUUCCCUUCAAUUGGUUUGACUUGAAAGCCUAUAUAAUGCCAUCUUCUCCAAUUUCAUUCCCCUUACAAUUACUUUUCUCUCUAAAAUUGCUUCUUACUAAUAUGGAUUCUACUGUUGUUUCAUUCGCAAAUUUGAAAGCCGGUCGCCUACACCAACAGAUCGUUGGGAGGAUGCUUCGUCACUGGCCUGCCCGCAACGUUAAAAAAGCAGGCCAACUAAUGGGAGUGGACUUCUUACUCAUCGAUGAAAAGACCUUUGUCAUCUAAGGGUCUAUCAAUGUGACCCAUCUUUCAAAAUUUGAGAACUCGAUGCGUGAUGGGGCAAUAUAUAUUUUGUCAGACUUUGAAGUCAUAAGAAGCAACUCCCGUUUCAAGCUUACCGAUUCCCCCUUCUCAAUACGUUUCACAUCGACCACUGUUUUUGAUCAGCUCGACGAGUCUUUCGGUAAUUUUCCAAAAGAGUUUUUCAGGUUCCGUACACAUGAGGAGUUGGUUUCUCUUGCCAACACCAAUACAGAUCUUCCAGAUGUCAUGGGCCAAGUAUGUUCAACCAAGGCAUAUAGAAAUGGAAUGACACAAACCUUGGAGAGGAUGUUAGUACUCCUAUCUCUUGAAAGGUUUGACCCUCACCGACUUACAACUCUUUUCUGCUGCAGUGCUCCAUAUGGUUUUUACAUUAACCGUCUUUAUUGCUUGAACACAUGUUCUCUGUUUUGAAAGCGGGGAGAAAGUGCGACUAAGUGCUUUUGAUCAUGCAACUUCACUGGAGAAGGUUUUUAGCCAAAAAGAUGUUGGGCCUUACAUAUUGUUGGCUACUAAUAUAAACCCAAAGUUAUUUGGAGGUGAACUUUACCUAAAUGCCACGUCUAGGACCAAAUUUUUACAGACGGAGACGUCACAACAACUGCACAGUUUUCUGAGAGGCUAAAGGGCAAACAAAAACAAGACACAAACUCUAUUGCACCAUUCCAUGGAGUAUCCAAGAUUGAACAUGUAUCCAUUGAUGCUCUUAACCAGUUUGUUGCUACUGGUAAUCCGCAGGCUGAAGGUGUACUGAACUCAGACUGUAGUGCUCCAAUUCCCAAAAUAGUCUCUGACAUUGUUGGGAAGAAAUUCACAUUCCAACUUAAGCUAACUAACUUCAAUUUCACUCCUCACCAUCAGUCAUUUAUGGUGUCACGUAUUUAUCAAACUACUGAGCUGCUCCCUGGUCCGACCUUCGUUGAGACACAAGCAGAAGGUGGGAAAAUGGUGGAUUUAGGUGAUAAAGGGCCUAUAACAGUUCCAACUCGGCAACAGCAGACAAGCACGUCAUGUGCAGUAGAUAUAUCAACAGAGGAAAAAACCCUUGGUUCUGGAGAUUUACCAGUUGAAAGCUCAUCUUCAGCAGCAAUGAACAAAAAACAGAAGAAACAGAAAUGGAAUUAGCCUACUUUUUUUUAUUAAAAUUUCCCAAUUGCUUCUUCUAAAGAGCUUGCCUUCAUUUCACUACUUUCUCUCUUCUGCUUCUGAAUAGAAUUUCCUUGCAUUACUAUAUGGUUGUUAUUAUGAGAUUCUUUUCCAACUUUCCGUUGUAAAAUUAAUUUUCAACUCUACUUUUGAAACAACCAGAAGUGCUAAUCUAUU
Camelina sativa (false flax) is the source of this 1866-nucleotide non-coding RNA. The record is from RefSeq and is a predicted model, not a curated record. Lineage: Eukaryota; Viridiplantae; Streptophyta; Magnoliopsida; Brassicales; Brassicaceae.